ACAAAGUAAACCAAUACUCAUAAUUCGUGAAUUAGCAAAUAGAAUGAGGUAAAACUCUUGAUGAUAUUUCACAACAUUGGAUUGGAUAUUGGAUGAUAUUAUGUGAUUUCCUAUGUUUGUUAUUUGAACUUCUAAUGUCACUAUAUGAAAUUUGGCAAAGUUUUUUGGUUUUUCGGAUUUGAUUGAUAUUAAGAGUUUAUGGAAAUAGAGUUGGGUCAGGGAAUGAUUUGUUGACUUUAUUGAAUUUUUUUUUACACCAACAUGAUAUCGCUAUUUAUUUGUGGAUUGCUAUUAGUUGAUGGUUAUCGAAUGAAAGGAAUGAAGACAUGCUUUCGGCCUUUUGUUUCAUUGAUUAUUCUCGGCCGUAGUUGCCAUUAGUCUACCGGAAAUCAUUAAUCGAUGUUAUGUUAAACAACCAGUUUUCUAGGCUUUUUUUUGGCAAUUUCAGCUUUUUAAUUACUUUUCCGUCUUUUUUCUUUCUAAAAAGUGGUCAAUUAUUAUUCUUUGCUUCUCGGUAUAAAAAACAUCUAUCUAUAAUAAUAAAGCAGAGUUUUCUCUCACCUUAGGCCUCCACAUCAUCGAGAAGGAGGAGGCAAUUAAGGACACGUGUCCAUCUUUUAUUUCCGCAAGCCAGUUUUCUUGACUUCAAUUUGGGCCAUUUAUGUUUCUGUAGAAAUGACAAGGCCCAAUCUCUCAUUUGACCAAAAAAACUCUAACAUGUCUCCUUCACUUUGUUUGUUCGUUUCGAUCUGAGGAACCCCGUCCGUUUCGAUUCCUUUCCCCAGCUGAGAAAUGACAAUCGUUAUGGAAUUGGAACCUCAAUACCCACUAAUCUGGUUAUGGUCAAGAAAGGUGGAGCGUCGAUGGGUAGUGAUCUGGUCCUGGCUUGAUGGAAAGGUACUGAGACAUUUCCUUUUCUCAAUUAUCGAUCCCUAUAUUGCUAUCCCAUUAUCCCGUUCCUUUUUUUUUUUUUUUUUUUGCGCAACUCCUUCCUUUUUCUAUGAUCAUACUUCUUUCUCAGUGUUUAUAUUGUUGGUUUUGCUAGAGAUUUCGAUGUUCAUGUUGUUGUGGAGCUCUAUUUCUCUGAGCUUAAGGCUAGCCGUUGUAGGAAGGUUGUGGUGACGAGGCUUCUUAUGUUUUUGGAAACUUGAAUUAUUAAGAAAUUCUGUUCUCGGAAGCUGGAAAUAAUAAGAGAUUGGAGAGUUGAUGGGCGUGGAUCUGCUAAUGGUCAAUCGAAAGGUAAUUAUUCUUACUGUCUACUUCGAUUUAAAAACCUGUACACCUUCUAGAUUAUCCUUCUUACAAGUGUUCUUAUUUGGCCGCAGUCAACAAAGCAACAUAGCUUCUGCUCAGGCUCUGAGCCACCGAUACCAUCGCUAUGUACAUCAUGUACCUUAUGGCCGUCACAACCCUUCGGUAUUUGAACUGAAAUACUGAUGAUAUGGGUCAGAUGUACGAGCUAUACUUCGAGCUUACUAUUCAGCUUCAUGCAAUUUGAUGGGGUUAGUUCUUUCUUUUCUUUUGUGUGUAUUCACAUGCCGAUCCUGAAGCUGUAUUUAAAUCUCUAGAUCAGAUUUCAAUUUCUAUGUUUUAACUAAGAAAGUUCUAUUUGGAAAAAUUCAUGAUUUUGUAAAUACCAUGAUUUCUGAAAUUUUAUUGCUAUUUCGGUUUUCUCUUUCGGAUUCUCAAUGAUGAUUCAUGAAGAUUAAGCGUUGACUUCAAAUAUGUGUUUUUUGAAUUGGUAAUUAUUGUGAAAAGCUGUGGUCGGAACAUGAAUUUAUGAAUUUUGUUGCGUUCUAUUAGCUCUUUGACUCGCUCUCUAUAGCAUCCCAUAAAUGAUGAGAUGAUGUGUGUUUACGCUCCCCUCUGUUCUUGAUGCUCUCUUUUUGAUUCCCGAUGGAUAGUUCAUCAAGAUAUAUGUGUCUGAUUUCAUGUAUAUGUUUAUAGGAUUGCAACAUUUAGAUUGCCACUGAUGGGAACAUGAAAGUAUAAUAUUUUUAGUAGUGUUAUAUUAGCUCUUUGACUAUACUUUUCAGAUGCAAUACUUAAUGUUGUGCUCUUAGUGUGGAGAAGCAGACUCUUAUUUCUCAAAUAUGCUAAAAAUUUUCCCCGCGUACUCUACUAUCAAUUUGUUUUUCUUCUUAAACUUGAUCAGCUUAGUUGAUGACAACCAACAAUCUGUCUGGCCCUUUUAUCUAGGAUUGUUCGGCCUUGAAUCUGCUUGCAUCAAAAGCCUUUGACCUUCCUCAUCCUACCAAGGGUCGAUCAUCUUCGUAGGUAUCUUAUUUACGCGUUACUGCUCUCCGAUGAGGCGAUGACCAUACAUCACACUGGAAACAAAAAUACCAAGCCUCUAAAUGUGUCCCCAAAUCUCACUACCGGCCCACCGUCUACAGAUAUAGCACGGUAUUCAACUGUACUGCUCUCAACUCUCUUAAUUUGUGCUUACAGUCAUCUUUCAUGGUUUUGAUCUUUGGUUCUAGACUCAAGUCGGAGCGUGUUAGAGACCAUGGAGAAGAAGGAACAAAUGCAGUUUCUUAUGAACCUGCUGCAGACAAGACAAGACACCAAGGAGAAACGCUUCGUUGAACCCCUUUUGAUAUGCAAGAGCCCGCACAAUACUCACUCAUUUCUGUUUUUAAUGAUUAUUCCAAUAGAGGAGAAACAAUUAACACAAAAUGUGUUGGUUGUUUAGUCUUCAUGCGAGAUAUUCAUGUGAAAUACUAGCUCCUCUUUCACUUUUUUGGUGCGACGAGUAUGCUGUGAUUAAAUUAUUUGAUUGUGUUGAUUACUUAAUUUUGUUGAGCAUGAAAUUUACUUGCAUAAUUGUAAUAUGAUGCUUGAUUUGUCGUGAUUCCUUUUCUUUUCUGUAAGGUAGCCAAUAGGAAAAUUCAAAACCUCAAUCUUUAAGACAAUGACCACUGUCGGGCAUGUAAUAUUUGUUACAAAUUUUCCAACAAUCAAGGUUGCACCAUAACAAAUCCAGGUGACCACAAAUUUUGAAAACCAAAAAAUAAAUACCAUUCAUCUCUUUUUAAUUUUAUUAUGUUUAUUUUACUCCAAGUUAGAUUGCAGCUUAGAUUUUAUCGGUCUUUAGACAAGGAACAUGGCUGGAUAUAUGCGAAGUAAUUGUGUGAAUUUAUCAAAUGAUCUUAUAUAAUAACUGACCAAUUUGGCUAUUAUACUUUCUAAACUAAAUUAUUUAAUUAUUGAACAAUUUCCAAAAUAUAAAAGUUAAAAACAUCAUAUAUGCUACCAAUAUAAUAAAACAAUAUCACAAAAUAACAAAAGAAUCAAAAACAAAUAUAAUUAAUAACACAAAUUAUUCUAUUAAAUAAUUUAAAAUAAUAACAAUAAUAGAAAAACUUACCUAUCUCUUAAUUAAAGCUAAAAUAAGUUUUAUAAUUAUAAACUUACCUCUCUCUUCCUUGCGUCACGUCAGCUAGAGCAUAGGGGCAAAGAUCACACGUGUCAUCUUAUAAAGUCUUCAACAAAACCAAUUUUCGUUCUGAAAUCUAUAGCAUGUUUAUUGCAUUCACAGAUUCUUCGUAACUGGGCCACAACUUUUUUUUGUUUUUGGGCUUUGUAAAACUAUUAUGGCUAAAUUUAGGUAUGAUCCGCUCAGUCAAACUUAUGAAAGAGGUUUUGUUUGUGACGUUUGCUGUAUAUCUUUUAUCUUCUCACUGUGAAAUCUAACCCUUCCUAAGAAAACGUACGCAAUUAUGUCAAUUAAUAAACGACAUCCAUUUUAUGAGCUUCAACGCCUCUUUGUUUCCUUAUCAAACACUCUGAUUGAGUACAUAUACACAAACUUUCAUGUGAGGAAGAGAGCAUUUUCUUUUAUUGUUCGUGACCUUUCUUCCUCUCUCCCUAGCCUAUUGUGCUUUCGUCUUCCAUUGGCGUGGCCGACUCAACUACCCGGUUAUCCAUUGGUCUAUGGAUCAUCACGAGUUCCCAAAAAUUGCUUCAACCCACACGAAACGUUCUUUGCGUCGCUCAGUUUCUUAUUCGGAUUGCAUCAGAGCCGUGCCCCUUCGUUUCCCUAUUUCAAUGACUGUAAAUUUGAUUGCCAAACAGAUCUGAAACCUAAGAUCUCCACAAGCUUACAUGAUCCACCUUACACUUUUAAGGUUAGUUAACUUGUUUGUCCACUAAAUUUUUGGAAAACAUACAUGAAAUGUAUUUUUACGAAAUUGAUGAUUUCAGUGUAACCGGGCAAAGACAUGUAAACAUAAAUAAGUGGUACAACUGAUGUAAUUGUAUUUAUUAUGUGGUACAACUGAUAUUUUACGAUUUCACUGCCAAAGUACAACUAUGCACAAACUGAUACAACUCAAAAACUAGUACAACUAUGUACAGCCGGUACAACUAGAAAACUAGUACAACUACUUGUUAUUUUAUUUAUUAUAUAUGACUAUAUUACCCUUGAUGAAAAUGCAUUCUCAACCAUUAGAUCAUCUCACCUCUUAUAAUCUGAACCACACGAUCUUUCUUCUCUUCUUCUCUCUUUCGGUUGGGACCCACUUCCUCUUUCUCUCAACCCUAGAUCAUUUUUCCCUUGUUCGAUCAUGGCCACACGAUUUCUAUCAUUUGUAUGUGUAUAACUAAUAUAACUUGUACAACUAAACAAGCAAACAGAUGAUGUAACUAGUAUUUACGUGACACGACUAAUAAAUCAUGUUUUCCAUAUGAAAUAAACAAUAAAAUAUCUUAAUUGGUUAAUGGUGACAAAAUUUUGUUUAUUUUAAUUGAGAGUUUUCAGUAUUUUGUUUUAUUUACCAAAUGGAGAUGCGGUUUCUCUCUUGCGGUUCCAAGCCUGCUUGGUUAGAUUUGACGAGGACCACCGUGGACACCACCAUCGAGCUUCCUCUUCUUCGUCAUGACUUCACUCUUCUUUGCUGUAUCUCUCUUCUUCUUCUUCACUGUGUAUUUCUUCUUCUUCGUUGCGGCACCUCUCUUUUUCACAGUAGAGUCCUUUUUGUUCAUCGCCGGUGAGUCAUUCUUACUCAUCGUCGACACUCCCUCUUUCUUCUUUUACGGGUGACUCGUGUAUUUGGAACCAUGGUUGAAUUUUUUUCUGGCUCCGUAUCUACCUUUUUGGUCUCGAGAGCAAAACGAUGAAGAUGGUUUUUUUCCGAAAAUAGUACAACUAGUAUAACUAGUACAACUUGUAACAAAUCAUUAUCCAAAUCAAAUAUUAUUAAAAAUAUACUCUUCAUGUAUUUAAUACAGGCGGGGAAGAUUAGACAAACAUGUCUUCUUGGUUCUACAUCAUCAUUUUUUUAUCAUCUUCAUACGCUGAAAACAAAAAAAUAAAAACCACUAUAUUAAUUGCAAAGUUGUACUAGUUAUACAUGUUUUACUUGUAUCAGUUAUAAUGGUUAUACUCAGACUAUUUAUACUAGUUAUACUCAUUGUAGUUGUACUACUUGUACCAAUUUGAGUUGUACUAGCUGUACUAGUUGGAGUUGUACUAGUUGUCUUAGUAAUACUCUGCGUUUCUUCUUUAUCUUCAAUCUCGUAAGUAAAAGAUGAAAUUUGAUUCUAGAUAAGAUAUAAUUGAUUAAACAUGACUAUGAGUUGAUCGAUUUGAGAUAAGAAAAAGAAAUUUGGUGGAUUAUUAAAGAAAAUUUUUGAUUUUGUUUUAAGGUGGAAGAAUAUUAAUGGAGAAAAUAAAAGAGGAAUAAGAAGAUUAGGGUUAAAAUUGGGUCGGAUUUUGGGUAUGGAUCCGGAUCAAAUCUGGGUAGGAAAGUCAUGGCAUAAACUAGUUAAUAUGUUUAAUUUUGUAGGUCUUAUGGUCUUUUACCCCUAUUUUUGAUUUAUUUUUAAUAUAUUGUUUAAUUAAAAAUAGAAGAGGUCCAUAAUAGAUUUUUUUUUACCCCCUUUGUCCCAUACUAGCAUUUGAUCCCUUUUGGCCACUGGUUGAUGGAAAGGUAUAUACAUUUAAAGUAUGUCUUUUAAAAGAAAAAAUUGGCACCUGAAAACACUUAUUCCUGAUAAUAAUUUUGAAUCUCUGUUUGUUACUCUUUGUUUCAGCCAGAAGUUUUGCUACCAGAAGGAUCGAAGUGGUGAAAGACACUGAGUUCUACAAAUUGGAAAUGUGGCAGAUGUUCCUCUAUUUACAAACCUGAGGGGGUAACAGAAGGUUUUCGUUGCUUUUUCAUUUAUGGUUGCCUAAUCAUCUAGUUCGUAAUAGAACCGUGCGAGUUAUUUUGAAAAACCAGAGGAGUCUGAGUCUCUGUGAGACUUAGACUGAGACUGAAGAAGUGAAAUGUUUAAGAUCAGGGAUUUUGCAGAGAAUUGUGAAACAUGUGAGAUGAUUCUUGGCGUGGACCAACGGUCUACUUCCACCCUGAAGAGACUUACAUGCCUUCAUCUGUGCCAUACUAUAUAUAUUUUUUUAAAACACAGCUUUUUAAACAGGUUUGGUACACCCCAAGUCAAACCGGUUAGCUCGAGUGGUUUGAAUUACCCUGCAGGUGGACAAAACAAUGGGUACUUCUGGAUUGAUCUCCCUCAAGAAGACGUGAAAGUAACAAGCAAGCUAAAAUAUCGGGCUUCGACUUUAACCACAAACCGCAUCGGGAAGCAUGUUGUCACUGCAAAUGUGAUCUUCAUGAAAAGCAAUUUUACGGCCAGCUUAAGUAGAUGUUAUUCUUGCAGCAUAGCGGGAGCGGUGGCGGAUGGGUUGAUGUAUCUGAUCUUGAGUUUCUCAAAGCUAGCAACGCACCAGUUGUCUUGGACUUCUUUUUUGUAAAGAACUUCACAUUUUAAUUCAUAUCAACUUCUCAUAGGAAUAAAAAUUGAGAAAUUCUAGGUUCA
Molecule: long non-coding RNA, 6822 nt
Organism: Brassica napus (rape)
Lineage: Eukaryota; Viridiplantae; Streptophyta; Magnoliopsida; Brassicales; Brassicaceae
Exons: 2
Source: RefSeq, a predicted model, not a curated record